This 468-nucleotide ribosomal RNA is filed under the name uncultured bacterium. RNAcentral's name for it is "partial 16S ribosomal RNA". It matches the Rfam family "Bacterial small subunit ribosomal RNA", at positions 28 to 507 of the family's 1533-position model. The record is from RNAcentral.
GACGAACGCUGGCGGCGUGCUUAACACAUGCAAGUCGAACGGAAAAGCCCUGCUUUUGUGGGUUGCUCGAGUGGCGAACGGGUGAGUAACACGUGAGUAACCUGCCCUUGACUUUGGGAUAACUUCAGGAAACUGGGGCUAAUACCGGAUAGGAGCUCCUGCUGCAUGGUGGGGGUUGGAAAGUUUCGGCGGUUGGGGAUGGACUCGCGGCUUAUCAGCUUGUUGGUGGGGUAGUGGCUUACCAAGGCUUUGUCGGGUAGCCGGCCUGAGAGGGUGACCGGCCACACUGGGACUGAGACACGGCCCAGACUCCUACGGGAGGCAGCAGUGGGGAAUAUUGCACAAUGGGCGGAAGCCUGAUGCAGCAACGCCGCGUGAGGGAUGACGGCCUUCGGGUUGUAAACCGCUUUCGCCUGUGAAGAAGCGAGAGUGACGGUAAUGGGUAAAGAAGCACCGGCUAACUACGUG